This 1605-nucleotide long non-coding RNA is filed under the name Cyanistes caeruleus (blue tit). Its description in RNAcentral is "lncRNA (ENSCCEG00000018597.1)". Lineage: Eukaryota; Metazoa; Chordata; Aves; Passeriformes; Paridae. The record is from RNAcentral.
UAAGAAAAUGAGGAUUUUUGGAAAUUUUGAGGGGGGAAAAUGCUAAAAUUGGGAAAAAAAUGAGGAUUUUGGGGGAAAAAACCGGGAAAAUGGGGAAAGAAAAGGAAAUUUUUGAGAAUUUUUGGGAAAAAACGGGAAAAUUGGGUAAGAAAAGGAGGAUUUUGGGGAAUUUUGGGGUUGGAUGUGGAAUUUUGAGGAUAAAAGUGGAGUUUUUGGGGAAUUCCUGAGGGGAUUUUGGGGAAUUAAAGCGGAUUUUUGAGACAAAAGGGGGUUUUUUUGGAGGGAAUGGGAGAGAAUUUUUCGGGAAUAACAAAAUUCAGGAAAUCCGCGUGGAAUUUUGGGGAAUAAAAACGAAUUUUCGUGAGGGGGAAGGGGAGGGAGGGAAGCGCAUUUUUGAGGAAAAAAUACCGAUAUUUUUAAAAAUAAAAAUUCAGGAUAAAAAGGAGAGGUUUGGGAAGGGGAAUCGCUUCUUGAAGGAAAAAAAAAAAGGGAAUUUGGGAUGGAACAAAAUUUGGGAAAACCGACCUGGAAUUGGCGGGCGGAGAUUUGCCCUCAACAAAGAUGGCGGCGGCCGCGCCCUGCGCCCUCACCCAAAAUGGUGCUGCCCACAACAAAGAUGGCGCCCGUGCUUUGCUCGAUACCCGCUUUGCCCUCACCCAAGAUGGCGCCUCCGCCUUCAACCUUUUCCCGCGCCGCUUCGCGCUGAUUGGUCGGAUUUUUUCCCGCCCUUCAAUCGGAUUGGCUCCUCACCCGGAAGUAGGCGUGGUAUCUCCGCAUGGUCGUGAUGGCGGGCGGCGUGUCCGGGAGAACGGACCCGUUCCCCGGGCCGGCGCCGGUGCCGCGGCCCAGAGUGAAGAGGUUCCUGCGGGGCGCGGACGAGAAAGCGCCCCGCGCCGUCGCCCCCCGGCUCCGCUGGCACCUGAAAAAUUUGGAAAAUCGGGAAAAUUCAGCAGCAGAAAAAGCAGCAAGAUGGGAACCCCUCCUGCCCGAGGAGCCAGGGUUUUUGGAGGCGGAUCCGGGCGAGGAUCCCGCGAGGAUCUCGCAGCGGGAAAUCGCCGACGCCGUGGAUAUCGCCAGCGCCAGCAAGGUGGGGAUUGGGGGGAAAAAUGGGGAUUUUGGGGAAAAAUGGGAAUUUGGGGAAAAAAAUGGGAAUUUUGGGGGGAAAAUUGGGGAUUUUGGGGGGGAAAAAUGGGGAUUUUGGGGAAAAAAAAGGAUGUUUUAGGAGAAAAAAUGGAGGUUUUAGGUGGAAAAAUGGGAAUUUUGGGGGGAAAAAUGGGAAUUUGGGGGGGAAAAAUGGGAAUUUUGGGGAAAAAAAUGGGAAUUUGGGGGGGAAAAUGGGAAUUUGGGGGGGAAAUGGGAAUUUUGGGGAAAAAAUGGGGAUUUUGGGGGGAAAAAUGGGAAUUUUGGGGAAAAUUUGGGAUUUUGGGGGGGAAAAAUGGGGAUUUUGGGGAAAAAAAAGGAUGUUUUAGGAGAAAAAAUGGAGGUUUUAGGUGGAAAAAUGGGAAUUUCCGGGGGAAAAAUGGGAAUUUUGGGGGGAAAAAAUGGGGAUUUGAGGGGAAAAAUGGGGAUUUUGGGGAAAAAAUAUGGGAUUUGGGGGGAAAAAAU